GGUUUGGUUAUCCAAGGGGCAGUGCUGAGCUCCUUGCCAAUGGGAAACGGAAUGCUGGUGAUUUCCAGGAAGUGACCUCACAAUGACUCAAGCUACUGCUUACUGUAGAUUGUGAUGAAAUGCCAGCUGAGGCACAUGCCUUGGGAGCUAAGUGGUUGCUGCACUUGACCGCUAUGAAGACUGGUGUGGGAAUGGUCCUUUUGGAUGCACUUCAGCAGGGGUCCCCAACCCCUGAGCCAUGGAGAUUUAAGGAGCCACACAGCAGGAGAUGGGACCAUCUUGUUGCAGGAAAAUAAGCUUAACAUGUCCACUGAUUCUACAUUAUGCUCCUGCCUCCCGGCAGCCUCUCCAGGUCCAGAACUUUCUCCAGUCGGCCUCUACGGGCCAAGCUUGUGGCUCACAAUGGCCUAUUUAGGCCCAUACCCUACCUCAUGGCAGUCUCCACAGAUGAGGCUGCUGCCUCAUGGCAGCCUCCACAGGCCCAGCUCCAUCAUUACAAUGGCCUCUUUAGGCCCAACUCCUGCCUCCCAGCCUUCUCUCCAGGCCCAGAGAGAAGGUUCUCAAGUCAACCUCACCAGGCCCAGCUACUGCCUCUCAUCAGCCUCCCAAGGGCCAUCUUUUGCCUCACAGCCACCUUCCAAGACUCAGCUCCUGUUUUACAGUGGACUCUUGAGGCCCACCUUUUGCCUCCCAGUGGCCUGUACAGGCCCAGCUCCUGCCAUACAACAGUCUCUUUAGUCCGAGCUCCUGCCUCUGGGCAGCCUAUACAGGCCCAAAAUGUCCAUAAGUCAGCCUCUCAAGGCCAAGCUCCUGCCUUCUUCCGUUGGCCUCUCCAGACCCAGCUGCUGCCUCCAGGUGGCC
This 861-nucleotide long non-coding RNA is filed under the name Pan troglodytes (chimpanzee). RNAcentral describes it as "long non-coding RNA NONPTRT015670". The record is from RNAcentral. Lineage: Eukaryota; Metazoa; Chordata; Mammalia; Primates; Hominidae.